GAUGAAGAACGUAGCGAAAUGCGAUAAGUAAUGUGAAUUGCAGAAUUUCCGUGAGUCAUCGAAUCUUUGAACGCACAUUGCGCCCCUUGGUAUUCCGAGGGGCAUGCCUGUUCGAGCGUCAUUAUAACCCCUCAAGCUCAGCUUGGUGUUGGGGCCUGCUGCACUGGCAGCCCUUAAAAUCAGUGGCGGCGCCAUCUGGCUCUAAGCGUAGUAAUUCUUCUCGCUAUGGAGUCCUGGUGGAUGCUUGCCAUCAACCCCCAAUUUUUCUAUGGUUGACCUCGGAUCAGGUAGGGAUACCCGCUGAACUUAAGCAUAUCAAUAAGCGGAGGA
Molecule: unclassified non-coding RNA, 330 nt
Filed under: soil metagenome
Description: partial contains 5.8S ribosomal RNA, internal transcribed spacer 2, and large subunit ribosomal RNA
Rfam family: 5.8S ribosomal RNA (bases 1-121)
Source: RNAcentral